GACAAGGUGACAGGGGUCGGUGACCUUUGGCAGUUAAGGAGAGAAGAAUGGAGCCUAAGACCUGAGUGCCCCUGGAGUGACAAACAGUGGGAAGUCUGACUCCGUACCAUGUACAGUGCUUCAAGCCUGGAAAAUCAUAUACAAUAAAAUAACAUAUACUCCACGGUGUUCUAUGAUAGAGUAUUUCUACUGUUGGACGGCUGGGGUUGAACCCCAGGACCCCAGGACUGUGGGUUUCACCGCUGAGCUAAGCCCCACCCCCAAUAUACUGGUACUGUAAUUUAUUUCACCAAGCUAUGAGUAAAAAUUUAGGAUAGGCCCCUUUUAGUG
RNAcentral lists this long non-coding RNA (330 nucleotides) under Chinchilla lanigera (long-tailed chinchilla). RNAcentral describes it as "lncRNA (ENSCLAG00000027159.1)". Lineage: Eukaryota; Metazoa; Chordata; Mammalia; Rodentia; Chinchillidae. The record is from RNAcentral.